RNAcentral lists this ribosomal RNA (253 nucleotides) under uncultured bacterium. RNAcentral's name for it is "partial 16S ribosomal RNA". It matches the Rfam family "Bacterial small subunit ribosomal RNA", at positions 524 to 776 of the family's 1533-position model. The record is from RNAcentral.
GACAGAGGGUGCAAACGUUGCUCGGAAUUACUGGGCGUAAAGCGCGUGUAGGUGGAUUGGUGUGUCAGAUGUGAAAUCCCUGGGCUCAACCCAGGAACUGCACCUGAAACUACCAAUCUUGAGUGGUGGAGAGGGAAGUGGAAUUCCUGGUGUAGAGGUGAAAUUCGUAGAUAUCAGGAGGAACACCAGUGGCGAAGGCGGCUUCCUGGACACCAACUGACGCUGAGGCAUGAAAGCGUGGGGAGCAAACAGG